CCCUUAGAUGUCCUGGGCCGCACGCGUGCUACACUGACGCAUACAACGAGUAUUUCCAGCUCCGAGAGGUAGCUGGUAAUCAGCAAUAUGCGUCGUGAUGGGGAUUGAUCUUUGGAAUUGUGGAUCAUGAACGAGGAAUGCCUAGUAAGCGCAGUUCAUCAAACUGCGUUGAUUAAGUCCCUGCCCUUUGUACACACCGCCCGUCGCUCCUACCGAUUUCGAGUGGUCCGGUGAGCCUUUUGGAGAGUGAGCGUCCUUGAGGCGCUUGCUCGAAGUCAGGCAAAUCUUACUACUUAGAGGAAGGAUAAGUCGUAACA
RNAcentral lists this ribosomal RNA (317 nucleotides) under uncultured eukaryote. RNAcentral's name for it is "partial 18S ribosomal RNA". It matches the Rfam family "Eukaryotic small subunit ribosomal RNA", at positions 1470 to 1796 of the family's 1831-position model. The record is from RNAcentral.